GAAUCCAAGGGAACACGUGUGUAUACCUACGACUCUAGUAUCCAAGGACAACCAACCAAAGGUAGACGAAGGGUAGAGAGGAUUCCAUGGAUAGCACUAGAUAAGUUAAAGGCCGAUCUCUCGAGUCAAGGUACUCGCUUCGGGUAUCGGCUUACCCUAAAUAAGUCAGGUGCCUUUGGCCAACAGCUCUACGCUAUAUCCGAACAUGGAGGAUUACGAAGGAUUAAUAGGGCUGUCACCACCUACGGCCUACC
This 254-nucleotide long non-coding RNA is filed under the name Setaria viridis. RNAcentral's name for it is "long non-coding RNA (SVIR_LNC007324)". Lineage: Eukaryota; Viridiplantae; Streptophyta; Magnoliopsida; Poales; Poaceae. The record is from RNAcentral.